CAACCCCGUCUCAGGCCGCUCCUAUACCACCCACCCCCGAUCUAGAUCGAUCGAGAUCCCCCUUCCACCUCCUCUCCUCUACCGUCCACCCCCUGGUUCGUCCCCUCGCUCGACCCCUCGCUCGCCAUGGCCGCCUCGCUUGACCCCUCGAUCGCCACCGCAGCCACCAAGCCGCGCCUCGCCGCUCCCCCGCCGUCCUCCGCCGCGGCCACGGGCGGGCUGCGCCGCGGUGCCGUCCUCCAGCGGGGACGGCAGCGGCGCGGCAGGUUCUCGUGCUGCACGGGGUCCGCCGCCUCGGAGAUGUAUGUAAUGCCUCCUUGCCUCUCUUUUUUCCCCCUCUCCUAAUCUGUCAGUGUAAUUUUGUGAGGCCCUCAUCUCUGUGGAUGGGAAUGGGAUGGGGGACGGAAUCCUCCUCUUCUUCUUAUGGAAGUCCCUUGUAGUAGCUGUAUAAUGAUGAUUGCACUAGGUUGGUUGAUCACGCCUCAUGAUUGGGAGGCCCAUCACCAUCACCAUCACUUUCCUAGCUGAACAAUGAUGGUUGCGCUCUGCAGCCGUAGGCCGGGAGCCCGCAUCAGUAUUGAACAAACAUGUGCCACUGCCAAUGGCGCCGGAAGCGCAUAGAGGUAUACCGCAGCUAAUGAUAGCCCAGGUGAGAGGCCUACUAAGUCCCCAGCUUCCUACUGGUCAAUGCAUCUUUGGUUUUGUUUUAAUGGAGUUCUAUUCAGCUUGUGUAAUCAAACUGUUAGUCCCAAAAACAGUUUACUGAAACUGCUGCCACUCUGGUUCAGUUAAGACUUGGGAGUCUGAACUGUUGUGUUAGACAUAAGUAGAAGUACACCUGCAAACUAAUUAGUUGUUGGGAGAAAAACAUUUUAUAAACACGUAUUCACACUCAACCUUGAUUAGGAAAUUAUUGGUUUUGAACUGUCCAUGAUUUAGAUGAAUCCAGGUCUUCAAUUUAAUCUAUAUGCCGCUAGUAGGAAACUUUGGAACUUGAAAACCCAAAUCUGUUUUAGUCCUCCUAGUUUAGCCUAUUCUAAUAGUUUUGAGUAAGUUCUUGGGGAUGAGUCUAUAAGUCUGUUCAGUGUUCAGCUCUACUUGAUUGUAAUUCAUUUGCUCUAGCUUUCACAAAAAACUAAUUAUCUGGUACACUUUAGAACUAUCCUGUGAACAUUGAUUGGCUGCAGAUGAGCCAUGUGUCUCAGAAGUCUGAAGGAUUGUUCAUCAUAGAAAUGUUCAGUUGAUAGAUUUAUGAGUUGUCCUGAAUUCGGCGUCCAUGACCAAACCCAGUUCCUAGUAGGGAACACAUGGACAUGAAGCUGCAGCGGCGACGACGAUAUUGACAUGGGGCUGCGGCGGCGACAACGACAACGACGACAUCAGAACGGUGCUGCUGCGGCGGCGACGAUGACAACAUCUUCACGGUGCUGCGACGACGAUGACAUCAACGCGGGCUUGAGGAGUCGCCGACGCCGACGACCUAUACGCGUGGUGUAUAUUGUGUAUAUAUAUGUAUAUAUAUAUAUAUGUGUGUGUGUGUGUGUGUGUGUGUGUGUGUAUUAAUUAUCUAUAUCGGUAUGUAUGAUUGAUUGUAUGCAUAAGAUGUACAUAUUAUGAAAUGCAUGUAUGUGAGUACUAUGAAAUGUA
Long non-coding RNA from Aegilops tauschii subsp. strangulata, 1647 nucleotides. RefSeq lists it as uncharacterized. The record is from RefSeq and is a predicted model, not a curated record. NCBI's taxonomy places the organism in Eukaryota, Viridiplantae, Streptophyta, Magnoliopsida, Poales, Poaceae.